AGUUAAAAAGCUAUAGGAUAAGCCCAAUGUCUUGAAAACAUUGCGAAAGAAGUUUAAGUCUUCUAUUAACUU
This 72-nucleotide transfer RNA is filed under the name Amitermes sp. ANIC 0105. RNAcentral describes it as "tRNA-Ser". The record is from RNAcentral. Lineage: Eukaryota; Metazoa; Arthropoda; Insecta; Blattodea; Termitidae.